UGGGGGAUCUUAGACAAUGGGCGCAAGCCUGAUCUAGCCAUGCCGCGUGAUCGAUGAAGGCCUUAGGGUUGUAAAGAUCUUUCAGCUGGGAAGAUAAUGACUGUACCAGCAGAAGAAGCCCCGGCUAACUCCGUGCCAGCAGCCGCGGUAAUACGGAGGGGGCUAGCGUUGUUCGGAAUUACUGGGCGUAAAGCGCACGUAGGCGGACCAGAAAGUUGGAGGUGAAAUCCCAGGGCUCAACCUUGGAACUGCCUUCAAAACUCCUGGUCUUGAGUUCGAGAGAGGUGAGUGGAAUUCCGAGUGUAGAGGUGAAAUUCGUAGAUAUUCGGAGGAACACCAGUGGCGAAGGCGGCUCACUGGCUCGAUACUGACGCUGAGGUGCGAA
Molecule: ribosomal RNA, 385 nt
Filed under: uncultured bacterium
Lineage: Bacteria
Description: bacterial SSU rRNA
Rfam family: Bacterial small subunit ribosomal RNA
Source: RNAcentral